GACGAACGCUGGCGGCGUGCUUAACACAUUCAAGUCGAACGGAAAGGCCCUGCUUUUGUGGGGUGCUCGAGUGGCGAACGGGUGAGUAACACGUGAGUAACCUGCACUUGACUUUGGGAUAACUUCAGGAAACUGGGGCGAAUACCGGAUAGGAGCUCCUGCUGUAUGAUGGGGGUUGGAAAGUUUCGGCGGUUGGGGAUGGACUGGCGGCUUAUGCGCUUGUUGGUGGGGUAGUGGCUUACCAAGGCUUUGACGGGUAGCCGGCCUGAGAGGGUGACCGGCCACAUUGGUACUGAGAUACGGACCAGACGCCUACGGGAGGCAGCAGUGGGGAACAUUGCGCAAUGGGCGGAAGCCUGAGGCAGCAACGCCGCGUGCGGGAUGACGGCCUUCGGGUUGUAAACCGCUUUCGCCUGUGACGAAGCGUGAGUGACGGUAAUGGGUAAAGAAGCACCGGCUAACUACGUG
RNAcentral lists this ribosomal RNA (468 nucleotides) under uncultured bacterium. RNAcentral's name for it is "partial 16S ribosomal RNA". It matches the Rfam family "Bacterial small subunit ribosomal RNA", at positions 28 to 507 of the family's 1533-position model. The record is from RNAcentral.